AGAAGAAUAACAGCGUAGUUCUCCUCUGGCAGAAUAAAAUGUCGUUGCAUUUCAAAAUGUAACGAGUUCUGCCAAAGGAGAAUUGCCCUGCCAUUCUACA
Molecule: non-coding RNA, 100 nt
Organism: Erythranthe guttata (spotted monkey flower)
Lineage: Eukaryota; Viridiplantae; Streptophyta; Magnoliopsida; Lamiales; Phrymaceae
Source: Rfam